Molecule: long non-coding RNA, 4328 nt
Organism: Musa acuminata AAA Group (dessert banana)
Lineage: Eukaryota; Viridiplantae; Streptophyta; Magnoliopsida; Zingiberales; Musaceae
Exons: 11
Source: RefSeq, a predicted model, not a curated record
UAAUCCUCUCGUUCGCUACUGUUCUCUGCUUGCCUUUCCGCAUUGCAUUCUCGCGAGAGGACGUUCAUCUGUUCCUAGAUCUGCAAAUGUGCCUCAGAUCUCUAAACGAGUCUCUCGAUCAAUGGACUUCCCCGAUGGAAGUUCAGGAGACUAGCAUUUAAAGGUUCCUGUAGAUAGAAGUGCUCUUUUGCGAAGAGAUCAUCAACAUCUUAUAUAUCAUAACAAAAGGAUGGUUCAGUAUGCAAUUGACACUCAUUUAGUCUAACUUGUUAUGAAUGAACUUGUUUGUCAAUUACAUGGAUGACUAUCUUACUUUGGUAGCUCUGCCUGAUAGUGAAGAAUUCAGAUCUAUUGAGUCUGCAGGGAUGUUUUUAGUCAAUUAGUUUCUUAGAUCCAGUUUGAAUCAGGUUAUGUAAUGACAAAGUGUAUGCUGAAUUUACAGUAUUUUAUGUUGUCAAAUGAGUUGCCAUCCUUAUACAGGGUUAUAGGAAGCUUUUAAUCUAUUUUUUUUAUUUUAAUUACUUUUGUAGUCCUAAUUUGUUUAUAGGAUAGUUUGGAAAACUUGAUUAGACAGUUUCAGAGGCCUCUUCAGGUAAGAAUUAAUGGAUGAUGAAAUUUUUUAUAAGGAACUUCUUUAAAGGCUUUCUUUCUUUGGGUACGGUUGAGAUAAAGUAUAUAUAGUAGAGGUUAUGUAUGAAUUAGAAACAAUGAGUUUAUAUGACUGAUUUUACAGAAAUAAAAAUACUUCUAUGAUUUUGAUAAACUUUACUUUCUUUUCUUCAGAAAACCCUAUCAUUCAUCAAGAUAUCAUAUAUAAAUCUACCAUAUUUUAUUGUCUAAAUACUAACAGAUAUUUGAUGCUCUUUUUACUUUUAAAGUAAGCUGCAAUUGAUAAAGAGCAGGCUGCUAGGAAAGAAACAUGCAAUGUUGCUGUGAAUUUCCAGGGAAUGAGGUAUGCAUCUGCUAAUUGGAAAUUAGUUUGUGUAUUUAUGGCUUAGAAAAUAUGUUUUUUUGUUUUUUACUUUAAGCUAGUUGGUGUUGGUGGCUUGUUAAUUACUUCUCUACUCUGGCAAGAAAAUAAAUAUUUUGGUUGUUUGCAUACUGUAGUCGUCGGAACAUGGAUCCUUUUGAUGCCCAUUCUUGGGUAGUGAUGAUAAAUCCUAUUGUCAGGAAAGACUUGACUGAUUCACUUGGGUGCAUGUUGCUAUAUACGCUGUGAGAACUCCAUUCUAAAUCCUAAUGAGACAUGUCUGCUGGAAUGUGAAGUCUGUUUAAAUUUCCAUGAGGUUUAGCCAUUUAACAACCUUGUAUUGUCCAUAAUUGCCUUAUAUGAAGUUUUCCUGAAAAUGGCUGAACUAUUCUGUCACAAAUUUCAGUUUUUUCAACUGUGUUGAUCUGCUUUUAUAGGAUAAUAAAAAUGGAAGGCGCAACAGUCUGCCUGUAAGUUUAUUUGCUAGGUUGUUUUAACUAUGAAUAAUUUUAGUAUUACAAUAAUAUGAUGAAAUCAUAUUUCUGGCCAAAACUUUGUUGCUUCUAUUCCUGAUUUUCUACUUCACUAGGGAUGGAGUCAAUGUUCCCGGUGGCACAGAAUUUUCUUAUAUUAAUUUUGCUUAGAUAUACAAUUUGGGUUUUCUUAUAUCUAGUUGUUACUUUUUCUGAAAAUUCAUUUCCUUGUGAAAUAGUUACUAUGUCUUUGCGAGUUGCAUGGAGACCAAUCUCAAGGGCCUUGUCUGGAUAGGGCUGGAUCCUACAGGAUUCUCUCUCUUACUUGGGUGGGGAAAAAAAUGCAGAUGGUAGGAUUGGCUGUUUGGGUGAAUCUUAUUUUGAUAUUUAACCUGUUGGGAAGGCCUAAUGUCACCGGAUAAAAGUAAAAUAUCUCAUGCAGUCUUCAUUUUGUUUUUUUCUCCUGUGCUUUUGGAUGUCUUAAAAACCAUAGGUGUUUCUCGUCUACCUUCAGUCACCACGCUCUCCUUCAUGCUUUGAUGAUCUGAGCACUGCAUGCGGAGAAUUUGUAAAUUAAAAAAAUGAGAUCCAACUAUAAUAAUUUCAUAGUAGUAACUUUUUUUCGCAUAGCAACAGUCUUUCACUUUCUUCUGUCUGUUUUGAGGUGUAAAAUUGGAUGCCACCCUUCUCCCGUGUGAUCAUUGCUGGUGUUCGCCAUGCCUUCUCUUUUCCGUCUAAUGUUGGAGGAUAUAUUAUGUUGACUGGUCUGGUGGCGUGAAUUCCGGAAGCGAUUCUCCAUCAGAUGCCCUUUUUUCUGUUCUAGCCAUUGGGAUCUCCCCCAUCACUCUGCAAAAGUCAAAUAAAGUACGACAGUACAAGCCCAAAGUAUUGCAUACAUCUCUUGGAGACCUGAAGUUGAAUGCAGUGAUGAUACCGACCAUCACGCAUCAGUGGUUAAAGAACUAAAAACCUUAUGGAGGAUGUAACGUGUAAGAAAUUGAGCACUAGUGGUCAGGUUCCACAAGUGGGACACGAAUUGGACCGGUCACUUCAUCCUGUUUCUUGACGUUGCAAGCUAAGAUGGGUUGGUUGAUCUUGGACGAAGUGGUGGUGGAAUAUGUGCUUGCGGGGCGGGCUUGGCUACGAGUGCCGUGAUUGAACGAACUGCAUCAAGAUCAAACAGAAAAGCAGCUUUGAGUUGCCAAAUGGCGUCGAGUAUGUUUGAGCUUUAGAACGAGAAUAAGACAAUGGAUGGCCAUUCUCAAGUUCAAGGUGAAACAAAUUGCCCACCCAUGAUUCGACAGGAGUUGUUACUAAGGCCAAAGCCAGAAGACUUGCUCUGCCACAUGGAACUCGGAACCACAUGAAGUAUCCUCGGGGCUCAAGAAGUUGCAGUGUUUAACAUCGUCAACAUCACCAAUCUGUGAGUGGUCAGAAUGAUGGAGUCUGAAAGCAUUUGAGUAACUGUUGAGCUCCAUGAGCAUGGAGCAAUCACCUUCAUGAGCGUGAUGGGGGCUCUCUGAAUCUAAUAUGGCGCUAUUGGCAGAGCUAAUGUCUUCUUGCUUGCAUAGCAUGGUCUGGCCAUGCAAUUUCUUCACCUCAAAGGCCAAAGUGGAAUCUAAAUUCUGCAAAUUAUCAGGGACUCAUAAUCCUUUUCUAUCUGCUUCGUCUUCCAUCUUGCACGGCGGUUCUGAAACCACACAGCAAUCUGCCUGGGCUUUAGUCCGAGAACCUUUGCAAUCUGAAGCUUCCUCUCAGGCUCAAGCUUGUUUUCCAACUCAAAGCUCUUCUCAAGGAAUUGAACUUGACAUGUAGUUAGCCGCCUCUUCUUGUCUGGCUGAUGAGGAUACUCACCUGAGUCAUCAUCGCCGAUUUCAUCCAACUCGACUGGCCUAAACAAGGGUCUCUCGAGGCUGUUCCCAUGACCAUCUUUGAGAUCUGCAAGAGACCAUGAGCCUGAAGCAGAACCUUACACUUCAAACUUACUAUGGAAAGGUAAAUCAGAAAUCACAGAGGAAGAUAUUCUAGGCAUCAAGUUCAGCAAACAAGACUGAUUGCAACUAAAUCAGCACUUACUGAGAUACAAGUUUAUAGGAAGAGAAAGAAGUCAGCUUGCUAGUGGAAGUGGCAAGAGGAGAAUGACAACCAUAAACCCAACCAGGGGAAAACAGAGUAAAUGCAAAGGGAGGUGAAUACCAAGAGAGCCGCCUGAAGGCGUUCCCGGAGCAAACAGAGGCCCAGAGAACUCUUUGUACAUCCCCUGGCUCUGCAGCAAAACCGCCAUGUUUGAGCUCCCAUGAUGCCUCUUCCCCACCAUUUCUCCCACUUUGCUUUCACCGCAAGAACGAAUAAAGAGAUCUUUCUUCUUGUUUUGGGGGUUCUUUACUCCCUUCUCUCAGAGGCAGGUUACGAUUCUACCCGGGGUGGAUUGGAAGCAGCUGGGCAUGUUUUCUCCCACUAAAAGAACUUGUGACGGAAGAAGCUGGUGAUCAUGAUGACAGAGACAUGGGAAGAGGUGUGGAAGAAAGGGCCACUGAGACCCAUCUCUUUUUCUUCUGUCUCUCUAUCAGGAAAAUCGAGAGUCUGUUGUGCGUGUGAGAGAGAGCUGGUUUCAAUCUGAAGGGAGACUUAAUGGUGUGAUGAGUCCCAGAAUUCUCCUUUUGUUCUCAAAAAGCUUGGUUCUACUUGGAAGCAGAGUUCCAACGGUGGAGAAGGGAAAAGAUGUUGAGUUUGGUUUUGAUCUCUCUGUGGCUCCUCGAUCUACUCUUUUUCUCUCCUUUGUGAAGGGGUUUGAGGGAAUUAUAUAGUGAAGAACAAGAACAAGAUGCCACUUGUAAACGAUCAUGACAGGAAUAUCCCCAUGGCGGUCGCUUUCCUUGUUGUCA